RNAcentral lists this long non-coding RNA (834 nucleotides) under Phasianus colchicus (ring-necked pheasant). RNAcentral describes it as "lncRNA (ENSPCLG00000021477.1)". The record is from RNAcentral. Lineage: Eukaryota; Metazoa; Chordata; Aves; Galliformes; Phasianidae.
GCUCCCUCCUCAUUUUGAUGUGGCUAAUCGUGGCUGGAAUGACUCAUGCUCAUAUGUGCAAGCAGGGCUGGGAACCAUCGGAUCUCCCUCUGAAUUUCUAGAACUCCGUGUUCCUGCUUGUUCCAACAAUAACAAAGGAAAAGGCCUUUCUUUGGUGGCAUUUUGGCUUUCUGCUGCAGUGAAUCAUGGAGAGGGAAUUGAAAUCUGUGUGUUUGGGAAAAAAUACCUAGAACUGUAUGGGUGCACAGAUGCUUCCACCUGGCUGACCUAUCAACUGAGAGCUCUGAUGUGAUUCUAGUGAGAAGCCUUUCCCAAGAUGACUCCAAACGUGGAGAGGACAGCAGAGUGCUGUACUGGAGAGGACAGGGGGGCUGUACUGGAGAGGUAAGUGCUCGAGCCAAUACCUGUUCUCUGGGGAAGUUAAUGCAGCAUCCUCCCUCCAUCCUCUCCCCAAAGCUUUGGUUUCUCUAAAACAUCAAGAGAUAUUUUUGGUGUUGUUUUCAAUUUUGAUGUGACUGCUGACCUAUAAAAGAGAAGGACCAACUAUGACUGUAAAUCCAUGACCGUUUUUUGUUAGCUUCAGCCUGAUUCAGAUAUCACACCAUGAGGUGUAUAUCAGAACUGAGUUAUUAUAGAGGGAACAAAGAGGUUCCCUUAGGUCUAGAUUUUCCUGCUGCGUGCUGAAGUGCCAUCAGUGCUCCUUUCCAGGAGGGCAGGAAUUCUCCAGGGCAUUAACUGUUUUCUGCGUGAGUUGGAUGCAUUUGCCAAAACUUGUUUUGUUUCAACAUGCUGGUUCAUGAAAUCGAGUGCAGAAGGACAGUGCCUUUCCUCUCC